AUUCUGGCUCAGGAUGAACGACUAGCGACAGGCUAACACAUGCAAGUCGAGGGGCAGCACGGGAGUAGCAAUACUUGGUGGCGACCGGCGCACGGGUGAGUAACGCGUAUGCAACCUACCUAUCAGAGGGGAAUAACCCGGCGAAAGUCGGACUAAUAACCGCAUAAAACAGGGGCACCGCAUGGUGAUAUUUGUUAAAGAAAUUCGCUGAUAGAUGGGCAUGCGUUCCAUUAGGUAGUUGGUGAGGUAACGGCUCACCAAGCCGACGAUGGAUAGGGGAACUGAGAGGUUGGUCCCCCACACUGGUACUGAGACACGGACCAGACUCCUACGGGAGGCAGCAGUGAGGAAUAUUGGUCAAUGGGCGGGAGCCUGAACCAGCCAAGUCGCCGUGAAGGAAGAAGGAUCUAUGGUUCGUAAACUUCUUUUGCAGGGGAAUAAAGUGCAGGACGUGUCCUGUUUUGUAUGUACCCUGAGAAUAAGGAUCGGCUAACUCCGUGCCAGCCGCGGC
RNAcentral lists this ribosomal RNA (511 nucleotides) under uncultured bacterium. RNAcentral describes it as "bacterial SSU rRNA". It matches the Rfam family "Bacterial small subunit ribosomal RNA", at positions 16 to 518 of the family's 1533-position model. The record is from RNAcentral.